CAUUUUAUUUCAAGACUCGAAAUGGUAAGUUGUGUGCUCUUCGUAAAUAGUUUUAUAUCAAUGAACAAUAUUGAAACCCUAAGCAUUUGGAUAAAUCGAAAUCCGGGCACUCCACGUGCAUGGUGCAUGUGAGACACCUCGGGACAACAUGUGAGCCCGUUGAGACACCUUGGGCACUGAGCCCACUGGAGACGCCAUUGUCACAUUGGAGAAUUUACAUUCUGGUUUGAGGUUAUGUAUGGGUCCAGCUGCAGCAGCGAGCACAUGGAUUUACCGAUAAAGAUCAACUCAGAAAUGUGGUUUAUCGCAGGCAAAUAUAACUAAAUGAGCUCGUUUAUUCGACUGUAUAAGAGUGACGUUGCCUUGUGUAAAAGAUCUUGAUAUAAAAAGAAUUGGACAUCUUCAAAUACUAAAAUAAA
This is a non-coding RNA of Drosophila melanogaster (fruit fly), 419 nucleotides long. The record is from Ensembl. NCBI's taxonomy places the organism in Eukaryota, Metazoa, Arthropoda, Insecta, Diptera, Drosophilidae.